UAGAGUUUGAUCCUGGCUCAGAGCGAACGUUUGCGGCGGGCUUAACACAUGCAAGUCGAACGAGAACCUCUCUUUCGGGAGGGGGGACAGUGGCGCACGGGUGCGUAACACGUGGGUAAUCAACCCUUUGGACUGGGACAACCCGGGGAAACCCGGGCUAAUACCGGAUGUGGCAUGCGGCACCAUGGCGCUCCGGGCGAAAGCUUCGCAAGGGGCGCUAGAGGACGAGCCCGCGGCCCAUCAGCUAGUUGGUGAGGUAAUGGCUCACCAAGGCUUAGACGGGUAGCUGGUCUGGGAGGAUGAUCAGCCACACUGGAACUGAGACACGGUCCAGACUCCUACGGGAGGCAGCAGUGGGGAAUAUUGCGCAAUGGACGAAAGUCUGACGCAGCCACGCCGCGUGAGCGAUGAAGGCCCUCGGGUCGUAAAGCUCUGUGGAUGGAGAAGAAUAAAGGCUGUGAAGAGCAGCCCUUGACGGUAUCCAUUUAGCAAGCACCGGCUAACUCCGUGCCAGCAGCCGCGGUAAUACGGAGGGUGCGAACGUUGCUCGGAAUCAUUGGGCGUAAAGCGCGCGUAGGCGGCUUGGUAAGUUGGAUGUGAAAGCCCAGGGCUCAACCCUGGAAGUGCAUCCAAAACUACCUGGCUUGAAUUGCGGAGGGGGCCAGAGAAUUCCCGGUGUAGAGGUGAAAUUCGUAGAUAUCGGGAGGAAUACCAGUGGCGAAGGCGCUGGCCUGGACGACAAUUGACGCUGAGGUGCGAAAGCGUGGGGAGCGAACAGGAUUAGAUACCCUGGUAGUCCACGCCGUAAACGAUGAGUGCUAGAUGGUGGGAGAGAUUAACCCUUUCGUCAUCGUAGCUAACGCGUUAAGCACUCCGCCUGGGGAGUACGGUCGCAAGACUAAAACUCAAAGGAAUUGACGGGGGCCCGCACAAGCGGUGGAGCAUGUGGUUUAAUUCGACGCUACGCGCAGAACCUUACCUGGGUUAAAUCCUUCAGAAUCUAGCGUAAUUGCUGGAGUGCCCUUCGGGGAAUUGAAGCGAAGGUGCUGCAUGGCUGUCGUCAGCUCGUGUCGUGAGAUGUUGGGUUAAGUCCCGCAACGAGCGCAACCCUCGUCCUGUGUUGCCACCGGUUCGGCCGGGCACUCACAGGAGACCGCCAGCGACAAGUUGGAGGAAGGUGGGGACGACGUCAAGUCAUCAUGGCCUUUAUGUCCAGGGCUACACACGUGCUACAAUGGCCGGUACAAAGCGCUGCCAACCCGCGAGGGGGAGCCAAUCGCAAAAAACCGGUCUCAGUUCGGAUUGCAGGCUGCAACCCGCCUGCAUGAAGCUGGAAUCGCUAGUAAUGGCGUAUCAGAACGACGCCGUGAAUACGUUCCCGGGCCUUGUACACACCGCCCGUCACAUCACGAAAGUGGAUUGUACUAGAAGUCUGCAUGCUAACCUUCGGGGGAGGCAGCGGCCCAAGGUAUGAUUCAUGAUUGGGGUGAAGUCGUAACAAGGUAACC
This 1508-nucleotide ribosomal RNA is filed under the name uncultured prokaryote. Its description in RNAcentral is "partial 16S ribosomal RNA". It matches the Rfam family "Bacterial small subunit ribosomal RNA". The record is from RNAcentral.